Molecule: transfer RNA, 72 nt
Rfam family: tRNA
About the family: Transfer RNA (tRNA) molecules are approximately 80 nucleotides in length. Their secondary structure includes four short double-helical elements and three loops (D, anti-codon, and T loops).
Source: Rfam
GGCUAGUUAGUCUAGUAGUAUAAUUUCUAACUACAAAUUAGAAGGUUAUAAGUUUAAUUCCUAUAUUAGCCU